RNAcentral lists this microRNA precursor (73 nucleotides) under Myotis lucifugus (little brown bat). RNAcentral's name for it is "mir-9193 microRNA precursor family". It matches the Rfam family "mir-9193 microRNA precursor family". Lineage: Eukaryota; Metazoa; Chordata; Mammalia; Chiroptera; Vespertilionidae. The record is from Rfam by way of RNAcentral.
GUUGUGGGGGGAGCCCCCUCAGCCUGGAUUGCGAGAGAGCGUAGGCCAGGCCGAGGGACCCCACCGGUGCACG